AUUGAACGCUGGCGGCAUGCUUUACACAUGCAAGUCGAACGGCAGCGGGGGCUUCGGCCUGCCGGCGAGUGGCGAACGGGUGAGUAAUGCAUCGGAACGUGCCCAAGUCGUGGGGGAUAACGUAUCGAAAGGUACGCUAAUACCGCAUACGUCCUGAGGGAGAAAGCGGGGGGAUUCUUCGGAACCUCGCGCGAUUGGAGCGGCCGAUGUCGGAUUAGCUAGUAGGUGAGGUAAAGGCUCACCUAGGCGACGAUCCGUAGCGGGUCUGAGAGGAUGAUCCGCCACACUGGGACUGAGACACGGCCCAGACUCCUACGGGAGGCAGCAGUGGGGAAUUUUGGACAAUGGGCGCAAGCCUGAUCCAGCCAUGCCGCGUGAGUGAAGAAGGCCUCGGUU
RNAcentral lists this ribosomal RNA (396 nucleotides) under uncultured bacterium. RNAcentral describes it as "bacterial SSU rRNA". It matches the Rfam family "Bacterial small subunit ribosomal RNA", at positions 28 to 424 of the family's 1533-position model. The record is from RNAcentral.